AACCUUCUGUAUCCAUGCCGAGAUUUCGUCACACAUUAGACCACAAGGGCUGAUGAAACUUCCAAGAUAAGUGAAGCU
Molecule: microRNA precursor, 78 nt
Filed under: Schistosoma haematobium
Lineage: Eukaryota; Metazoa; Platyhelminthes; Trematoda; Strigeidida; Schistosomatidae
Description: mir-3492 microRNA precursor family
Rfam family: mir-3492 microRNA precursor family
Source: Rfam by way of RNAcentral